AGGAUCCACACAGCUUUCAGAGGACCUGGGGCAGAUGCAUGCUGGUGCCAGGAUCUUCAUUUGUUUCUUUCAGAGGCCCUCCCUGGUGAGCAUGGUCCUCACUUUUAUGUCAACAGGGCUAAGGAAGAUUUUGGGGGCAGAGAGAAUGCUGAGAAGAAGGGCAGAGUCUGAGGAGUUGCAAGCCAUUCUCAGAAGAAACAACAAGGGAAGUUCAUAGAUGAGGUACGUGUGGAGGACAGAGAACAACUUGCAUUCAUGGAGUCGUUCUCUCAUUCCUCCAUGUGGCUGUGGGGCACUGGACUCCCGGAUGUCAGGCUUGGUGACGAAGGAAGGGCCUUUACCUCCUCGCGGUCCCUGAAAUCUGAUUUUGGGAGUCUGUAUUUCUGCAACAUUUUGCAACUAUAGAAAUACAAAGAGAUCAUUUUGGCCUGUAAUCUAGGCCCAGAAGGGUGAGUCAGAAGAAAGCUGAGUUGGAGGCUGGCCUGGGAGACACACCAGGCCUUCUCAAAACAGGAGUAGCGGCUCUCUUCCCACCCCCCACCCCUUUCUUCUCCUUUCAGCGUGGC
This 566-nucleotide long non-coding RNA is filed under the name Cricetulus griseus (Chinese hamster). RNAcentral's name for it is "lncRNA (ENSCGRG00015042653.1)". Lineage: Eukaryota; Metazoa; Chordata; Mammalia; Rodentia; Cricetidae. The record is from RNAcentral.